GACGAACGCUGGCGGCGUGCUUAACACAUGCAAGUCGAACGGAAAGGCCCUGCUUUUGUGGGGUGCUCGAGUGGCGAACGGGUGAGUAACACGUGAGUAACCUGCCCUUGACUUUGGGAUAACUUCAGGAAACUGGGGCUAAUACCGGAUAGGAGCUCCUGCUGCAUGGUGGGGGUUGGAAAGUUUCGGCGGUUGGGGAUGGACUCGCGGCUUAUCAGCUUGUUGGUGGGGUAGUGGCUUACCAAGGCUUUGACGGGUAGCCGACCUGAGAGGGUGACCGGCCACAUUGGGACUGAGAGACGGCCCAGACUCCUACGGGAGGCAGAAGUGGGGAAUAUUGCACAAUGGGCGGAAGCCUGAUGCAGCAACGCCGCGUGCGGGAUGACGGCCUUCGGGUUGUAAACCGCUUUCGCCUGUGACGAAGCGUGAGUGACGGUAAUGGGUAAAGAAGCACCGGCUAACUACGUG
This 468-nucleotide ribosomal RNA is filed under the name uncultured bacterium. RNAcentral's name for it is "partial 16S ribosomal RNA". It matches the Rfam family "Bacterial small subunit ribosomal RNA", at positions 28 to 507 of the family's 1533-position model. The record is from RNAcentral.